ACGAACCGUGCGAACGUUGUUCGGAAUCACUGGGCUUAAAGGGCGCGUAGGCGGGCUGGCAAGUCCGUGGUGAAAGCCCCCGGCUCAACCGGGGAAGGGCCUCGGAUACUGCCAGCCUUGAGGGAGGUAGGGGCCUGUGGAACUUCCGGUGGAGCGGUGAAAUGCGUUGAUAUCGGAAGGAACGCCGGUGGCGAAAGCGACAGGCUGGCCCUCUUCUGACGCAGAGGCGCGAAAGCCAGGGGAGCGAACGGGA
RNAcentral lists this ribosomal RNA (253 nucleotides) under uncultured prokaryote. RNAcentral describes it as "partial 16S ribosomal RNA". It matches the Rfam family "Bacterial small subunit ribosomal RNA", at positions 525 to 777 of the family's 1533-position model. The record is from RNAcentral.